Molecule: ribosomal RNA, 1119 nt
Filed under: Bacterium SB_Bact3
Lineage: Bacteria
Description: bacterial SSU rRNA
Rfam family: Bacterial small subunit ribosomal RNA
Source: RNAcentral
UGCGGGCCUACCAUGCAAGUUCGAGCGGAUGAAGAGAGCUUGCUCUCUGAUUCAGCGGCGGACGGGUGAGUAAUGCCUAGGAAUCUGCCUGGUAGUGGGGGACAACGUCUCGAAAGGGACGCUAAUACCGCAUACGUCCUACGGGAGAAAGCAGGGGACCUUCGGGCCUUGCGCUAUCAGAUGAGCCUAGGUCGGAUUAGCUAGUUGGUGAGGUAAUGGCUCACCAAGGCGACGAUCCGUAACUGGUCUGAGAGGAUGAUCAGUCACACUGGAACUGAGACACGGUCCAGACUCCUACGGGAGGCAGCAGUGGGGAAUAUUGGACAAUGGGCGAAAGCCUGAUCCAGCCAUGCCGCGUGUGUGAAGAAGGUCUUCGGAUUGUAAAGCACUUUAAGUUGGGAGGAAGGACAUUAACCUAAUACGUUGAUGUUUUGACGUUACCGACAGAAUAAGCACCGGCUAACUCUGUGCCAGCAGCCGCGGUAAUACAGAGGGUGCAAGCGUUAAUCGGAAUUACUGGGCGUAAAGCGCGCGUAGGUGGUUUGUUAAGUUGAAUGUGAAAUCCCCGGGCUCAACCUGGGAACUGCAUCCAAAACUGGCAAGCUAGAGUAGGGCAGAGGGUGGUGGAAUUUCCUGUGUAGCGGUGAAAUGCGUAGAUAUAGGAAGGAACACCAGUGGCGAAGGCGACCACCUGGGCUCAUACUGACACUGAGGUGCGAAAGCGUGGGGAGCAAACAGGAUUAGAUACCCUGGUAGUCCACGCCGUAAACGAUGUCAACUAGCCGUUGGGAGUCUUGAACUCUUAGUGGCGCAGCUAACGCAUUAAGUUGACCGCCUGGGGAGUACGGCCGCAAGGUUAAAACUCAAAUGAAUUGACGGGGGCCCCCACCAACCGGUGGAACAUGUGGUUUAAUUCGAAACAACCCGAAAAACCCUUACCAGGCCUUGACAUCCAAUGAACUUUCCAAAAAAUGGAUGGGUGCCCUCCGGGAACAUUGAAACAGGUGCUUGCAUGGCUGUCCUCACCCCCGUGUCCUGAAAUGUUUGGGUUAAAUCCCCGUAACAAGGGCAACCCUUGCCCUUUAUUAACCACCCCGUAAUGGGGGGCCCCUCUAAGGG